AUGUUUAUUUGUGAUUAUGAUCAGGACUGCGCUUAUUCUGAAAGUACAACAAGGAAAGGGCCAGCAAGAAAAUUAGCCAAUAAUUGGUUGACUGGUUUAACCCUAGGGAGAAGGUGGCUAAGAGGGCUUCUGAAAAGGGCCCAGGCUGAGGCUGAGGGGGAAACCGUUGAGUCCAAGAAGCUAAUUGCUCUGAAAUAUGGUCUUAGCCAUGUCACUUACCUCAUCGAGCAGAGCAACCCUCAGCUGGUCCAUGAUAUUGACCUGGUUGUGGUUCCCAGCCCUGUGCAGGAAGUUGGGAGGUCCCAUACUGCAUUGUUAAGGGAAAAUCACACCUUGGAUUGUCCACUUGUUGUUACCCUUCUAACAUCUCCAAUGUCCGCUAUUCUGCAGGCUAACUUCAAUGACAAGUUCUACGAGGUCAGGAAGAAGCGGGAGGUGGUGUUUUGUGAAGCUCGCCGUUUCAGGGGCUGUGCAGGACAAAAUGCUAUGGAUCCAGAGGAGUGGGAGGGGAGAGUUUAUCAACAACACAUCAAGGAGAAAGCGUGA
Molecule: ribosomal RNA, 546 nt
Filed under: Triticum aestivum (bread wheat)
Lineage: Eukaryota; Viridiplantae; Streptophyta; Magnoliopsida; Poales; Poaceae
Description: partial small subunit ribosomal RNA
Source: RNAcentral